UGGGUCGGCAAGACGGUCGCGUCAUGCGUGUUUUUCGAAACACGGAUGCCGAGGAACGUCCGGGCUCCGAAGAGCAGGACGGUGGGUAACACCCACCCGGGGUAACCCGCGAGACAGUGCCACAGAAAGUAGACCGCCGCUGGCUCACGCCGGCGGUAAGGGUGAAACGGUGGUGUAAGAGACCACCAGAGGCCAAGGUGACUUGGUCGGCUUGGUAAACCUCGUCCGGAGCAAGGUCAGACAGAAAACGCUGAGGCUGCUCGCCAAGUUUUCGGGUAGACCGCUAGAGGGCUGCGGCAACGUAGUCCCCAGAUAGAUGACCGUCCAUGGUGUCGUGUUCGCACGAAACCGGGACAGAACCCGGCGUAACAGCUGGCCCAUUCC
Molecule: RNase P RNA, 384 nt
Filed under: Glaciibacter psychrotolerans
Lineage: Bacteria; Bacillati; Actinomycetota; Actinomycetes; Micrococcales; Microbacteriaceae
Description: Leifsonia sp. LI1 Bacterial RNase P class A
Rfam family: Bacterial RNase P class A
About the family: Ribonuclease P (RNase P) is a ubiquitous endoribonuclease, found in archaea, bacteria and eukarya as well as chloroplasts and mitochondria. Its best characterised activity is the generation of mature 5'-ends of tRNAs by cleaving the 5'-leader elements of precursor-tRNAs. Cellular RNase Ps are ribonucleoproteins.
Source: Rfam by way of RNAcentral